GUGGGGAAUAUUGGACAAUGGGCGAAAGCCUGAUCCAGCCAUGCCGCGUGUGUGAAGAAGGUCUUCGGAUUGUAAAGCACUUUAAGUUGGGAGGAAGGGUAGUAACCUAAUACGUUGCUACUUUGACGUUACCGACAGAAUAAGCACCGGCUAACUUCGUGCCAGCAGCCGCGGUAAUACGAAGGGUGCAAGCGUUAAUCGGAAUUACUGGGCGUAAAGCGCGCGUAGGUGGUUCAGUAAGUUGGACGUGAAAUCCCCGGGCUCAACCUGGGAACUGCUUUCAAAACUGCUGAGCUAGAGUACGGUAGAGGGUGGUGGAAUUUCCUGUGUAGCGGUGAAAUGCGUAGAUAUAGGAAGGAACACCAGUGGCGAAGGCGACCACCUGGACUGAUACUGACACUGAGGUGCGAAAGCGUGGGGAGCAAACAGGAUUAGAUACCCGAGUAGUCC
Molecule: ribosomal RNA, 450 nt
Filed under: uncultured bacterium
Lineage: Bacteria
Description: partial 16S ribosomal RNA
Rfam family: Bacterial small subunit ribosomal RNA
Source: RNAcentral